RNAcentral lists this ribosomal RNA (550 nucleotides) under uncultured eukaryote. RNAcentral's name for it is "eukaryotic LSU rRNA". The stretch from base 155 to 307 matches the Rfam family "5.8S ribosomal RNA". The record is from RNAcentral.
UUCCGUAGGUGAACCUGCGGAAGGAUCAUUCGCACAAAGAAAUGUUCUGUUCCACCCGCCACGCACCACACAGUGCUUUCUGUUUUAUGCUCAGGAAAUGUUUUCCGUCUCGUCGAUGUUGCGAUGUCAUUGCAAUGUAUGCGAUGUUAUCUAUCUCUUGCGACGACGAAUGCCUUGGCUCGAGGAUCGUUGAAGGACGCAGCGAACUGUGCUAAACAUCUCGAAUUGCAGAUUUCCGAGAAAGAAAAGGAUUCUGAACGCAUUCUGCGAGUUGACCUCGUGUCAGCUCACGUGAUUGGCGGUGACCGAAAUAUGCAGUCGCUCUAACUCUGAAGUUUGAGUGGUCUUCACAUGUUGUCGCAAGUUGUUGCGCCGACGUGUUCGUGUGAUUCAGCGCGUCUCUCGUUUUCGAGCAGCAUUAUGAUUUGUUUCAUGAUGUUCGAUUUCAUUGAAGCGUUUCGUUUUGGUUCCUCAAAACAUUUUUCUCGCACGCUCACGACCAGUCACGGGAUUACCCGCUGAAUUUAAGCAUAUCAAUAAGCGGAGGAAA